CCGAGACAGAUCCGAUUUCCACCUUUUCUUAAAUGCGCUGCUGAAAGUCGAGAAGGCCCCGGCCGGGGAGCUCGCGUCGCUUCCUCCCCCCUCAGCUCCCCUCGCACCCUGAGUCCCCCAGCCCCACUCCGGGAGGGGCCGCGAAACUGCACCCGCAAGGGCCUCAUACAUAUUUUAAGGAGCAGGCCAGGCAGGUAACCGGAGCUGGACUCGGACGGUGAGGGGGCGGCCCCCGGGGACCUGAUACCCUGGAUCCCUUACGGCUCAGGGCUCAGGCGGGGGAAGAGGUGGCUCAGGACGACCUGGGGUCCUCACUUUGCUGGCCUGUCCAGCGCAUCCUAAGCCCGCGUGUAUCCUACCCCCUCCUUCUGCAGAUCCAAUGUCCGUCUGGCAAUUGCCCCAUUCCCUCUCGCUGGAGAGAUCCCUUCCGCCUCGCCACAGGCGUCCCACGCUGCCCGGAGUCGUGCGCCCCGGGACGGGUAGUUUUGGGUUCCUCGACGCUUGGCCAGGUUUAGGAAAGACCCGCUGUCUUCCUUGCUGCCCCCACCUAGGAGACUCGGCGCCUUGCGCUCCGUCCUUUUUAAUGGUGUCGCGGCUUGUCCCUCUGGCUUGCUCCCUCCUAGUCCCUACCCCACACGGCUCCCUUCGCCAGCUCCAUGACAAUCCCACUCGUGCUGAAGACCUUGGGCAAAGAAGUAACCAUCGGUCUUCCCCUCCCUUCCCAUUCCUCCGGCGGCAGGACUAGGGGGAAAGGUGCCCGGGAUACAAGCCCCUCACGCAGACCCACUGAUGCGGCCGUGGUUCUGCCAUUGGCCCCUCUCCGAAUGGAUGACUCGCACCUCUGGGGAUGAAGAAAAUGCACAUGUGAGCACGUGGGUACUUGGCGACCCGGAGAUCUCUGCAAACUGCAGGCCCAGCGAGAUGGCCU
This 928-nucleotide long non-coding RNA is filed under the name Homo sapiens (human). RNAcentral's name for it is "HSALNT0128926". Lineage: Eukaryota; Metazoa; Chordata; Mammalia; Primates; Hominidae. The record is from RNAcentral.